This 268-nucleotide ribosomal RNA is filed under the name Vibrio parahaemolyticus. RNAcentral's name for it is "partial 23S ribosomal RNA". It matches the Rfam family "Bacterial large subunit ribosomal RNA", at positions 2109 to 2376 of the family's 2925-position model. The record is from RNAcentral. Lineage: Bacteria; Pseudomonadati; Pseudomonadota; Gammaproteobacteria; Vibrionales; Vibrionaceae.
GCUUGACACUGAACAUUGAGCCUUGAUGUGUAGGAUAGGUGGGAGACUAUGAAAUGUGGACGCCAGUCUGCAUGGAGUCAACCUUGAAAUACCACCCUUUAACGUUUGAUGUUCUAACCUAGGCCCAUAAUCUGGGUCGGGGACCGUGUCUGGUGGGUAGUUUGACUGGGGCGGUCUCCUCCUAAAGAGUAACGGAGGAGCACGAAGGUUGGCUAAGCAUGGUCGGACAUCAUGCGGUUAGUGCAAAGGCAUAAGCCAGCUUGACUGU